RNAcentral lists this unclassified non-coding RNA (259 nucleotides) under plant metagenome. RNAcentral describes it as "partial contains small subunit ribosomal RNA, internal transcribed spacer 1, and 5.8S ribosomal RNA". The stretch from base 212 to 259 matches the Rfam family "5.8S ribosomal RNA", at positions 1 to 49 of the family's 154-position model. The record is from RNAcentral.
UUUCCGUAGGUGAACCUGCGGAAGGAUCAUUAUUGAAUGAAACACUUCUGGCUUUAUGCUGUUGUGCUGGCCCUUUGGGCAAUGUGCACACGGCUCUGGUCACUUGUUUCUUCUGUUCCACCUGUGCACUGCCUGUAGACACGCUGUGUCUAUGAUAUUGUUAACACACAACAAUGUUAGUUGGCAUGUUAUAUAUAAUAAUAAAAUAUACAACUUUCAACAACGGAUCUCUUGGCUCUCGCAUCGAGAAGAACGCAGC